This 224-nucleotide long non-coding RNA is filed under the name Elaeis guineensis (African oil palm). Its description in RNAcentral is "long non-coding RNA (EGUI_LNC000111)". Lineage: Eukaryota; Viridiplantae; Streptophyta; Magnoliopsida; Arecales; Arecaceae. The record is from RNAcentral.
UUAUAAAAAAAGCAUGCAAUCAUUACAGCAUGCAUCUAUCCUCUCGUAUCCCAUGCCUAAUCCUUUCAUCAUUUUCUUUGAAGUAUAAAAACUCCCAACAAGCUUCUCAUCCUUCGAUAACAUUUUCUUUAUGAUUAUUACCAUCCUAUCAUAAUAAUUGACCAUUAUAUUAAACUCAACCUUUAAGUUCAAUAAUUUUGAUACAGCCAAUAAUAUAGUAUGUG